Molecule: ribosomal RNA, 409 nt
Filed under: Platychirograpsus spectabilis
Lineage: Eukaryota; Metazoa; Arthropoda; Malacostraca; Decapoda; Glyptograpsidae
Description: partial 16S large subunit ribosomal RNA
Rfam family: Archaeal large subunit ribosomal RNA
Source: RNAcentral
UUAUUUUAAAGAGCCGCAGUAUCUUGACUGUGCAAAGGUAGCAUAAUCGUUAGUUUUUUAAUUGAAAUCUUGUAUGAAUGGUUGGACAAAAAAAAAAUUGUCUCUGUAUUAAUUAUUGAAUUUAACUUUUAAGUGAAAAGGCUUAAGUGUAUUAAAAAGACGAUAAGACCCUAUAAAGCAUUUUGUUGGGGUGAUAAAGAUAAAAUGAUUAACUAUAAAUUUAUUAAAACAAAUAUAAGUGAAUGGAUCCUGAUUAAAGAUUUAAAGUUUAAGCUACUUUAGGGAUAACAGCGUUAUUUUUUUUGAGAGUUCUUAUCGAAAAAAGAGUUUGCGACCUCGAUGUUGAAUUAAAAUAGUCUGUACAAUUGCAGCAGUUGUAUAAGAAAGUCUGUUCGACUUUUAAAGUUUU